UGGGGGAAUAUUGCACAAUGGGCGCAAGCCUGAUGCAGCAACGCCGCGUGAAGGAAGACGGUCUUCGGAUUGUAAACUUCUGUUCUUAGUGAAGAAAAAUGACGAUAGCUAAGGAGCAAGCACCGGCUAACUACGUGCCAGCAGCCGCGGUAAAACGUAGGGUGCAAGCGUUGUCCGGAAUUACUGGGUGUAAAGGGAGCGCAGGCGGACCGGCAAGUUGGAAGUGAAAACUAUGGGCUCAACCCAUAAAUUGCUUUCAAAACUGCUGGCCUUGAGUAGUGCAGAGGUAGGUGGAAUUCCCGGUGUAGCGGUGGAAUGCGUAGAUAUCGGGAGGAACACCAGUGGCGAAGGCGACCUACUGGCACCAACUGACGCUGAGGCUCGAAAGCAUGGGUAGCAAACAGGAUUAGAUACCCUGGUAGU
Molecule: ribosomal RNA, 423 nt
Filed under: uncultured Gemmiger sp.
Lineage: Bacteria; Bacillati; Bacillota; Clostridia; Eubacteriales; Oscillospiraceae
Description: bacterial SSU rRNA
Rfam family: Bacterial small subunit ribosomal RNA
Source: RNAcentral